Molecule: ribosomal RNA, 439 nt
Filed under: uncultured bacterium
Lineage: Bacteria
Description: partial 16S ribosomal RNA
Rfam family: Bacterial small subunit ribosomal RNA
Source: RNAcentral
CCUACGGGAGGCAGCAGUGGGGAAUCUUGCACAAUGGGCGAAAGCCUGAUGCAGCAACGCCGCGUGAGUGAUGAAGGCCUUCGGGUCGUAAAGCUCUGUCCUCAGGGAAGAUAAUGACGGUACUUGAGGAGGAAGCCCCGGCUAACUACGUGCCAGCAGCCGCGGUAAUACGUAGGGGGCAAGCGUUAUCCGGAUUUACUGGGGGUAAAGGGGGCGUAGGUGUCUUCUUAAUUCGGAGGUGAAAGGCGACGGCUCAACCGUCGUAAGCCUUGGAAAAUGUGAAACUUGAGUGCAGGAGAGGAGAGUGGAAUUCCUAGUGUAGCGGUGAAAUGCGGAGAUAUUAGGAGGAACACCAGUGGCGAAGGCGGCUCACUGGACUGUAACUGACGCUGAGGCACGAAAGCGUGGGGAGCAAACAGGAUUAGAGACCCCUGUAGUC